RNAcentral lists this ribosomal RNA (253 nucleotides) under uncultured bacterium. Its description in RNAcentral is "partial 16S ribosomal RNA". It matches the Rfam family "Bacterial small subunit ribosomal RNA", at positions 524 to 776 of the family's 1533-position model. The record is from RNAcentral.
CACAGAGGGUGCGAGCGUUGUCCGGAAUCACUGGGCGUAAAGGGCGCGUAGGCGGCUUGAUAAGGUUGCGGUGAAAGCCCGGGGCUCAACCCCGGGUCGGCCGUGGCAACUGUCGAGCUGGAGCACUGUAGAGGCAGGUGGAAUUCCGGGUGUAGCGGUGGAAUGCGUAGAGAUCCGGAAGAACACCGGUGGCGAAGGCGGCCUGCUGGGCAGUGGCUGACGCUGAGGCGCGACAGCGUGGGGAGCAAACAGG